RNAcentral lists this long non-coding RNA (234 nucleotides) under Carica papaya (papaya). Its description in RNAcentral is "long non-coding RNA (CPAP_LNC001580)". Lineage: Eukaryota; Viridiplantae; Streptophyta; Magnoliopsida; Brassicales; Caricaceae. The record is from RNAcentral.
AAAUCGCGAGUAUUUUUGAACCAUCACAGCCUCCCCCCUAAACAAAAUUGGUCCUCUAAAUUGAACUUACCAGUGGUCACAGAUAGAUGUGGAUAUUUGGCAUUCAUAUCCACUCUACUACUAGUAAGGGCUGAAGUAGUCCUACUAGCCUUUGAGGUUCAGCCUUUACUUGUUGGCAGGUGAGACGUUUAGAAAUGAACUCUGUUAUAUCCUUCUUCAUCCCACUUCACUGGU